RNAcentral lists this non-coding RNA (27 nucleotides) under Bombyx mori (domestic silkworm). Lineage: Eukaryota; Metazoa; Arthropoda; Insecta; Lepidoptera; Bombycidae. The record is from RNAcentral.
UGGUAUGCAGACAGCAACAGGUUUAGC